CCGGUACCGGGAUUCAACCCCGGGCCCCAUCCCCGGUACCGGGAUCCACCCUCGGUACCGAGAUUCACCCCCAAGAUCCACCCCCGGUACCGGGAUCCAGCCCCGGGCCCCAUCCCCGGUACCGAGACCCAUCCCCGGGAUCCACCCCCGGUACCGAGAUCCAGCCCCGGGAUCCAGCCCCGGUACCGGGAUCCGGCCCCGGGCCCCAUCCCCGGUACCGAGAGCCACCCCCGGGAUCCAUUCCGGGUACCGCGAUCCAGCCCCGGUACCGGGAUCCAGCCCCAAGAUCCACCCCCGGUACCGGGAUCCACCCCUGGGCCCCAUUCCCGGUACCGGGAUCCAUUCCCGGUAUCGAAAUUCACCCCCGGGAUCCACCCCCAGCCCCGGGAUCCAGACCCGGUUCCCCGGUCCCGGGAUCCAGCCCCAUCCCUCAUUCCCGGUAUCAAUUCCCAUCCCGGUUGCCGGGAUCCAUCCCCCGCUUCCCGCCGCCAGGAUCCGUCCCCCGGUACCGGUCUCCAUCCUCAUUCCCGGUUCCGUUUCCCGGGAUCCAUCCCCGGUUCCCGGUAUCUCUGGCCAUUCCCGGUUACCGGGAUCCAUUCCCUUUCCCGGUUCCCGGUAUCUCCGGCCCUUCCCGGUUCCCGGGAUCCAUCCCCGGUCCCAUUCCCGGUUCCCGGUCCCAUUCCUGGUGCCGGUUCCCGGUAUCUCUGGCCGUUCCCGGUUCCCGGGAUCCAUCCCCGGUCCCAUUCCCGGUUCCCGGUCCCAUUCCUGGUG
This 771-nucleotide long non-coding RNA is filed under the name Calidris pugnax (ruff). RNAcentral describes it as "lncRNA (ENSCPUG00000008203.1)". Lineage: Eukaryota; Metazoa; Chordata; Aves; Charadriiformes; Scolopacidae. The record is from RNAcentral.